GCCACGGUGGUCUAGUGGUUAGAACGCUGGCCUUGUAAUCCUGGGGUCUCGGGUUCGAUUCCCGGUGGUGCCC
This is a non-coding RNA of Zootermopsis nevadensis, 73 nucleotides long. The record is from Rfam. NCBI's taxonomy places the organism in Eukaryota, Metazoa, Arthropoda, Insecta, Blattodea, Termopsidae.